CCUGCCUGGUGUAGGCCAUGUGUUGGUAAGAGCUGCUGAGAUGGAGAGUGCAGAAUGUUGUCUGAGGAAACAACUUCUUCAGGUUCAAGGUAUCAAGGUGUUGUGGGAGGGAAACACUUCAACUUCCUGUCCUUGUGUAGCUGUGGGCUUCCACAGUUGUCUCCACAGCUAUAGAUUUUGUCAUGAUGAUUCUUUCUCCUCCUCAGGUGGGAUUUACAGGGAUUUAUUUUAUUACAUGUGGUUGUUAUCUUAUUCAGCUGAAAUUCCUUUACUUGUGCACUGCUCGAGUGGGCUCAGUAGAGAUGGUCCUGAUGUCACAUGUGGAUUGUUCUGAUAUCUGCAAGAACACCCAAAAAGCUGCAUGAUAAGCCCAGUUUGUGUGGUGCAAGCUGUCAACAGAGAUGACACCGUGAGUGCUCCUGUGCUUUGGCACUUGCUGUGUUCUCUUGAAGGAAUAUAUCUGUUUAUUAGAGCUGUCACAGCUCUAAUCACAGAACUUUUAAUAACUCUAACCUGCAGGUCAGUGGUGUUUCUAAGACAGAUUACUGAAAAGGAUCAAAACAUUCAUGUUGAAGAUCGUGUAGCUGGGAAGAGGUUUUAGACAUUCUGUACAUCCUUUGUGGUGAUCAUGAAGGAAGAUGAGGAAGUACAAGGGUCUGGAUCAGCUGCAGAUGGGGUUUACAGGCAGGGCUUGUUGCUGAGGUUGAGCAAUGUUUGAUAUUCUGGCAAUGAUCCUGUGUGUGGCAAUAAAUAAGGCGUGGGCCUGUGUGAUGGGGAGGGUGAAUUAGAGUGGGGAUGAGUGUUGCCCCAGGGAAGUACAAAUGCUGAGUAGAACACGGCCUGCAUCGCUGUGGAGGAACUGGAGAAUGUCUGGAUAGCUGUGGAGAUCUCAUUUCCCAUGCCUUGUGACAGAGGAUGCCAACAGAAAGACUUGAGAAAAUGCCCACGGUGUGAUGCUGCUCUUCUGGGAGCUUCUCAGAACCUCCAGCAGCUCUCUGUGUUCUUGCUUUCUGUUGUUCCCUGUGAUAUUACAGCUUCUGAAGGGACUUGCCAUCCAUGCCUUUAAUAAUUUGUUUUUGAUGUGGAAUUUUCCUGGUAAAACAGAAGACUUUUUGAACUGUGUGUCAUUCUGCCAGCCUUUCUUGGGCCAUGGCAUCAGUCAUCUCCCUGGUCUUGGUCUUCUAGCUGGCAUUAAGGGGCACUGUCCCUUGAAAGAAGUGUUCUGGGGGCUGGAGUUUCUUUUUCUGAAGCAGCAAGCAGUGAUGCUACAGGUGAGUUACUCCUUCCAGAAGAGCCCGUGUGUGAGAGACAGGUGUACUUUGGUUCCUGUGAUGCCUUAAUUUUUAGCUUUACUGACAUAUGUUCCAUAUUUUCCAUAUUCUGUACUGCAUUUUUCAUAUUUUGCAGAUUCUGUACUGCAUUAUUAUAUAACUCUGAACUUCAUGUAAAAUGUUAGCAAAUUUUCCUCACAAUUCAGUCACAGAAAACAUUCCUUUUCCAGCUGAGAACCAAGGACAGCAUUGCAGCUUCAGGCCCAAAAAGUACAGCAGUGAAUUGAAGAGAGCAGUCUGGGAAGAUGGAACUGCAUACCCUGGAGCUGUAAUUGGACAAUAAACCCCAAAAUGUGGAUAUACCA
This is a long non-coding RNA of Lonchura striata (white-rumped munia), 1636 nucleotides long. The record is from Ensembl. Lineage: Eukaryota; Metazoa; Chordata; Aves; Passeriformes; Estrildidae.